GUGGGGAAUCUUGCGCAAUGGGCGAAAGCCUGACGCAGCCAUGCCGCGUGAAUGAUGAAGGUCUUAGGAUUGUAAAAUUCUUUCACCGGGGACGAUAAUGACGCUACCCGGAGAAGAAGCCCCGGCUAACUUCGUGCCAGCAGCCGCGGUAAUACGAAGGGGGCUAGCGUUGCUCGGAAUUACCGGGCGUAAAGGGCGCGUAGGCGGACAGUUUAGUCAGAGGUGAACGCCCAGGGCUCAACCUUGGGAUUGCCUUUGAUACUGGCUGUCUUGAGUACGGGAGAGGUGAGUGGAACUCCGAGUGUAGAGGUGAAAUUCGUAGAUAUUCGGAAGAACACCAGUGGCGAAGGCGACUCACUGGCCCGUUACUGACGCUGAGGCGCGAAAGCGUGGGGAGCAAACAGGAUUAGAAACCCUAGUAGUCC
Molecule: ribosomal RNA, 425 nt
Filed under: uncultured bacterium
Lineage: Bacteria
Description: partial 16S ribosomal RNA
Rfam family: Bacterial small subunit ribosomal RNA
Source: RNAcentral